UACGUAGGGACCAAGCGUUGUCCGGAAUCAUUGGGCGUAAAGAGCUUGUAGGCGGUUUGUCGCGUCUGCUGUGAAAUUUCGGGGCUCAACCCCGAACUUGCAGUGGGUACGGGCAGACUAGAGUGUGGUAGGGGAGACUGGAAUUCCUGGUGUAGCGGUGAAAUGCGCAGAUAUCAGGAGGAACACCGAUGGCGAAGGCAGGUCUCUGGGCCACUACUGACGCUGAGAAGCGAAAGCAUGGGGAGCGAACAGG
Molecule: ribosomal RNA, 253 nt
Filed under: uncultured bacterium
Lineage: Bacteria
Description: partial 16S ribosomal RNA
Rfam family: Bacterial small subunit ribosomal RNA
Source: RNAcentral